GGUGGUUCAGUGGUAGAGUGCUUGCCUCUUAUGCAUGAGGCCCUGGGUUCAAUUCCUCAGCACCA
RNAcentral lists this transfer RNA (65 nucleotides) under Dipodomys ordii (Ord's kangaroo rat). It matches the Rfam family "tRNA". From Rfam's summary of the family: Transfer RNA (tRNA) molecules are approximately 80 nucleotides in length. Their secondary structure includes four short double-helical elements and three loops (D, anti-codon, and T loops). Further hydrogen bonds mediate the characteristic L-shaped molecular structure. tRNAs have two regions of fundamental functional importance: the anti-codon, which is responsible for specific mRNA codon recognition, and the 3' end, to which the tRNAs corresponding amino acid is attached (by aminoacyl-tRNA synthetases). tRNAs cope with the degeneracy of the genetic code in two manners: having more than one tRNA (with a specific anti-codon) for a particular amino acid; and 'wobble' base-pairing, i.e. permitting non-standard base-pairing at the 3rd anti-codon position. Lineage: Eukaryota; Metazoa; Chordata; Mammalia; Rodentia; Heteromyidae. The record is from Rfam by way of RNAcentral.